UGAGGAAUAUUGGUCAAUGGGCGGGAGCCUGAACCAGCCAAGCCGCGUGAGGGAAGACGGCCCUAUGGGUUGUAAACCUCUUUUGUCGGAGAACAAAACCCGGGACGUGUCCCGGACUGCGUGUAUCCGAAGAAAAAGCAUCGGCUAACUCCGUGCCAGCAGCCGCGGUAAUACGGAGGAUGCGAGCGUUAUCCGGAUUUAUUGGGUUUAAAGGGUGCGUAGGCGGUCCGUUAAGUCAGCGGUAAAAUUGCGGGGCUCAACCCCGUCGAGCCGUUGAAACUGGCAGACUUGAGUUGGCGAGAAGUACGCGGAAUGCGCGGUGUAGCGGUGAAAUGCAUAGAUAUCGCGCAGAACUCCGAUUGCGAAGGCAGCGUACCGGCGCCAGACUGACGCUGAGGCACGAAAGCGUGGGGAUCGAACAGG
This 423-nucleotide ribosomal RNA is filed under the name uncultured bacterium. Its description in RNAcentral is "bacterial SSU rRNA". It matches the Rfam family "Bacterial small subunit ribosomal RNA", at positions 355 to 776 of the family's 1533-position model. The record is from RNAcentral.